RNAcentral lists this ribosomal RNA (702 nucleotides) under uncultured fungus. RNAcentral's name for it is "SSU rRNA". It matches the Rfam family "Eukaryotic small subunit ribosomal RNA", at positions 390 to 1092 of the family's 1831-position model. Lineage: Eukaryota; Fungi. The record is from RNAcentral.
GGGAGCCUGAGAAACGGCUACCACAUCCAAGGAUGGCAGCAGGCGCGCAAAUUACCCAAUCCCGACACGGGGAGGCAGUGACAAUAAAUAACAAUACGGGGUUCUUUCGGAUCUCGUAAUUGGAAUGAGUACAAUUUAAAUCUCUUAACGAGGAACAAUUGGAGGGCAAGUCUGGUGCCAGCAGCCGCGGUAAUUCCAGCUCCAAUAGCGUAUANNNAAGUUGUUGCAGUUAAAAAGCUCGUAGUUGAAUUUCGGGAUCAAUAUUUCGGUCAUGCCGUUGGUACGCACUGUUAUCAUUGAUUUCUCACCUUCUAAAGAACCGUAAUGCCAUUAAUUUGGUGUUACGGGGAAUUAGGACUGUUACCUUGAAAAAAUUAGAGUGUUUAAAGCAGGCUCACGCUUGAAUACAUUAGCAUGGAAUAAUGAAAUAGGACAUCCGAUUCUAUUUUGUUGGUUUCUAGGAUCACCGUAAUGAUUAAUAGGGAUAGUUGGGGGCAUUAGUAUUCAAUUGUCAGAGGUGAAAUUCUUGGAUUUAUUGAAGACUAACUACUGCGAAAGCAUUUGCCAAGGAUGUUUUCAUUAAUCAAGAACGAAAGUUAGGGGAUCGAAGACGAUCAGAUACCGUCGUAGUCUUAACCAUAAACUAUGCCGACUAGGAAUCAGACGAUGUUAAUUUUUUAAUGACUCGUUUGGCACCUUACG